GAUGAACGCUGGCGGCGUGCUUAACACAUGCAAGUCGAACGGAAAGGCUCCUGCUUGCUGGGGUCCUCGAGUGGCGAAAGGGUGAGAAACACGUGGGUGACCUGCCCUGCAUUUCGGCAUAUGCCUUGUAAACCGGGUCUACUACCGGAUAGGACGAUGAUUUGGAUGGGAUGGUGGCAAGUGUUUACGUCGUGGGAUGAGUUGGCGGCGUUUCAGCUUGUGGGUGGCGGAAUGGCCUACCAAGGCGUCGACGGGUAGCCGGCGUGGGAAGGUGGACGGCGACAUUGGGCCUGAGAUACGGCGCAGGCUGCAACGGGGGACAGUAGUGGAGAAGAUUGAACAAUGGGCGCACGCCUGAUGCGGCGACUCCGGGCGGUGGAGGUGGGCCUUCGGGUUGUAAACUACUUUCGCUCGGGACGGGGCGGGAGUGACGGUACCUGGAGGAGAAGGACCGGCUAACUACGUG
Molecule: ribosomal RNA, 466 nt
Filed under: uncultured bacterium
Lineage: Bacteria
Description: partial 16S ribosomal RNA
Rfam family: Bacterial small subunit ribosomal RNA
Source: RNAcentral